This 250-nucleotide long non-coding RNA is filed under the name Cricetulus griseus (Chinese hamster). RNAcentral describes it as "lncRNA (ENSCGRG00000026030.1)". The record is from RNAcentral. Lineage: Eukaryota; Metazoa; Chordata; Mammalia; Rodentia; Cricetidae.
CCUGCGUUUACAGACAAAAAGACCUCAGAAAUGGGAAGAGGACAGCCUUUGGGUGAGAGCUGACUGGAGUCUGUUGGAAGCAGGGAAGCUGCUUGUUACAGGGCCUUGCAUUGCCAUCACAAAAAUACCAAGACAACCUACGUUGAAAGCAGUAGUGCAUUGAGCUCACAAUUUUGGAAGUCUGAGGGAAUGACACACAGCUGAGUCCACUCUGACGGCAGUCCACAGUUGGGCGUGUGUUCCGCAGGAG